Molecule: ribosomal RNA, 803 nt
Filed under: uncultured bacterium
Lineage: Bacteria
Description: bacterial SSU rRNA
Rfam family: Bacterial small subunit ribosomal RNA
Source: RNAcentral
AGAGUUUGAUCCUGGCUCAGGAUGAACGCUGGCGGCGUGCUUUACACAUGCAAGUCGAACGGAACUACUUUGAUGAGAUUCUUCGGAAAGGAUUUGAUUUAGUUUAGUGGCGGACGGGUGAGUAACGCGUGGGUAACCUGCCUCAUACAGGGGGAUAGCAGUUGGAAACGACUGUUAAUACCGCAUAAGCGCACAAAACCGCAUGGUUUGGUGUGAAAAACUCCGGUGGUAUGAGAUGGACCCGCGUCUGAUUAGAUAGUUGGUGAGGUAACGGCCCACCAAGUCAACGAUCAGUAGCCGGCCUGAGAGGGUGAACGGCCACAUUGGGACUGAGAACGGCCCAAACUCCUACGGGAGGCAGCAGUGGGGAAUAUUGACAAUGGGGGAAACCCUGAUGCAGCGACGCCGCGUGAGCGAAGAAGUAUUUCGGUAUGUAAAGCUCUAUCAGCAGGGAAGAAAAUGACGGUACCUGACUAAGAAGCCCCGGCUAACUACGUGCCAGCAGCCGCGGUAAUACGUAGGGGGCAAGCGUUAUCCGGAUUUACUGGGUGUAAAGGGAGCGCAGGCGGUCCUGCAAGUCUGAUGUGAAAGCCCGGGGCUCAACCCCGGGACUGCAUUGGAAACUGUGGGACUUGAGUGUCGGAGGGGCAAGUGGAAUUCCUAGUGUAGCGGUGAAAUGCGUAGAUAUUAGGAGGAACACCAGUGGCGAAGGCGGCUUGCUGGACGACAACUGAACGCUGAGGCUCGAAAGCGUGGGGAGCAAACAGGAUUAGAUACCCUGGUAGUCCACGCCGUAAACGCAU